UUGAUGAGUGCAUAUAAAUAGGUUAUACUUACAAUGUAUUAGAUUAUUCCUAAAAUUAUUUUUUAAUAAUAUUUUUAAAUUAAAUAAUAAUUAUUUAAAUAAAUAUUUAUUUUUUUUAACCUCCUCCAAUUGAUUAAUCUCUCUCUCUCACACACAUUAGAAACCUCCUCUAAUUAUUCAUUGAUCAUCAUCACCAUCCACCGAAAGCUUCUCUUCUCAAUCUCUUUGUCUCCAUCUUGCGACCGAAGAAUGAUGGAGGUGGUUUUGAACGAUCGACUGUGGAAGAAGAUAAAGGUUGAAGGUUGGCAAUUAGUCUAGAUAGCUUACUGAUAUGUUUGGCAUGGAUGCUGAUGAUGUGCCAGAAGAAGAAGAGCAUUGCGGUGAGGGUGAUGACAAACAGCGUGGAAUGGUGAAUUUAAAUCUUUUCUUCUUCUCAAUGCGUUGAGUGAUCUUUUAAUGGUUUCAAAAGACAUGCUUAUGGGCCGAUCAAUGAGAAAAGAGAUUGAUAUAUAGUUAAACUUAUCUUCAUACCAUUUGCAUUGAGAUUACACAACACUCAUUAUUGCUAUGCUUGUUUGGUAAUACAAUCCUCAAUAAUAGACCUAGUUUUGGUCCGACCCUUGGUAGCUUUGGGAGUUUGGACAAGUCAAGUUCUUGAGCUUGGCCAUUAAACUUAGCUCUAGCCCAGAACGAUGAGGUUAUUGUGUCUCUAGCUGAUAGUUCCUGGGAGGUUCUUGACAUAUCUAGUUCAGAUGUUUCUAAUUUUGGGUUGGUAAAAGUGGUUCAAAU
Long non-coding RNA from Cannabis sativa, 789 nucleotides. RefSeq lists it as uncharacterized. NCBI's taxonomy places the organism in Eukaryota, Viridiplantae, Streptophyta, Magnoliopsida, Rosales, Cannabaceae. The record is from RefSeq and is a predicted model, not a curated record. The transcript is spliced from 2 exons.